AGUGAACGCUGGCGGUAGGCCUAACACAUGCAAGUCGAACGGCAGCACAGUAAGCGCUUGCCCUUACGGGUGGCGAGUGGCGGACGGGUGAGGCAUACAUCGGCAUCCACUAUUUCGUGGGGGAUAACGUAGGGCAACUUAUGCUAAUACCGCAUAUGAUCUACGGGAGAAAGCAGGGGAUCUUCGCACCUUGCGUGUCUCAUUGAGCCGAUGUCGGAUUAGCUAGUUGGCGGGGUAAAGGCCCACCAAGGCGACGAUCCGUAGCUGAUCUGAGAGGAUGAUCGGCCACACUGGAACUGAGACACGGUCCAGACUCCUACGGGAGGCAGCAGUAGGGAAUAUUGGGCAAUGGGCGCAAGCCUGAUCCAGCCAUACCGCGUGAGUGAAGAAGGCCUUCGGGUUGUAAAACCCUUUUGUUGGGAAAGAAAAGCAGCAGGUUAAUACCCCGCUGUUCUGACGGUACCCAAAGAAUAAGCACCGGCUAACUUCGUG
RNAcentral lists this ribosomal RNA (492 nucleotides) under uncultured bacterium. RNAcentral's name for it is "partial 16S ribosomal RNA". It matches the Rfam family "Bacterial small subunit ribosomal RNA", at positions 29 to 507 of the family's 1533-position model. The record is from RNAcentral.